UACGUAGGGGGCGAGCGUUGUCCGGAUUUAUUGGGCGUAAAGAGCUCGUAGGCGGUGUGUCGCGUCGGCCGUGAAAACCUGGGGCUUAACUCUGGGCUUGCGGUCGAUACGGGCAUCACUGGAGUUCGGCAGGGGAGACUGGAAUUCCUGGUGUAGCGGUGAAAUGCGCAGAUAUCAGGAGGAACACCGGUGGCGAAGGCGGGUCUCUGGGCCGAUACUGACGCUGAGGAGCGAAAGCGUGGGGAGCGAACAGG
RNAcentral lists this ribosomal RNA (254 nucleotides) under uncultured bacterium. Its description in RNAcentral is "partial 16S ribosomal RNA". It matches the Rfam family "Bacterial small subunit ribosomal RNA", at positions 524 to 776 of the family's 1533-position model. The record is from RNAcentral.